Molecule: long non-coding RNA, 474 nt
Filed under: Mytilus galloprovincialis (Mediterranean mussel)
Lineage: Eukaryota; Metazoa; Mollusca; Bivalvia; Mytilida; Mytilidae
Source: RNAcentral
AAAAUCUUCUCCUAAAACUACAUGGCCAAAUUUAAACGUGUGGCCAUUAUCAAUAGAUUAUCAUCAUUGAGGUAUCUUGCUAAUGAAAAGAGAAAAUGUGAGAGUGACAGAAAUGUUCAGAAUGUUGAGAUUUACCUAUUGUCCAUUUUUAUCAAAACUGCCAGACAAUUUAUUACAAGAGUUGUUGCCUUAAAGUGAUAAAUAAACUCAUCAUAAAUACCAGGAUUAAAUUUUGUAUUUACGCAGCUGGCAUUUCGUCUACACAAGACUCAUCAGUGACGCUCUCAUCCCAAAAAGUUAAAAAGGCCAAAUAAAGUACGAAGUUGAAGAGCAUUGAGGACCAAAAUUCCAAAAAGUUUUUCCAAAUUUAGUUAAGGUAAUCUAUUCCUGAGGUAGAAAAAGAAAAGCCUUAGUGUUUCAAAAAUUCAAAAGUUUUGUAAACAAUCAAUUUAUAAAUAUGACCAUGUAUCAAUG